GACGAACGCUGGCGGCGUGCCUAAUACAUGCAAGUAGAACGCACAGGAUGCACCGUAGUUUACUACACCGUAUUCUGUGAGUUGCGAACGGGUGAGUAACGCGUAGGUAACCUGCCUGGUAGCGGGGGAUAACUAUUGGAAACGAUAGCUAAUACCGCAUAAGAACAUUUACUGCAUGGUAGAUGUUUAAAAGGUGCAAAUGCAUCACUACCAGAUGGACCUGCGUUGUAUUAGCUAGUAGGUGAGGUAACGGCUCACCUAGGCGACGAUACAUAGCCGACCUGAGAGGGUGAUCGGCCACACUGGGACUGAGACACGGCCCAGACUCCUACGGGAGGCAGCAGUAGGGAAUCUUCGGCAAUGGGGGGAACCCUGACCGAGCAACGCCGCGUGAGUGAAGAAGGUUUUCGGAUCGUAAAGCUCUGUUGUUAAGGAAGAACGAGUGUGAGAAUGGAAAGUUCAUACUGUGACGGUACUUAACCAGAAAGGACGGCUA
Molecule: ribosomal RNA, 496 nt
Filed under: Streptococcus intermedius
Lineage: Bacteria; Bacillati; Bacillota; Bacilli; Lactobacillales; Streptococcaceae
Description: bacterial SSU rRNA
Rfam family: Bacterial small subunit ribosomal RNA
Source: RNAcentral